This 427-nucleotide long non-coding RNA is filed under the name Musa acuminata (dwarf banana). Its description in RNAcentral is "long non-coding RNA (MACU_LNC011242)". The record is from RNAcentral. Lineage: Eukaryota; Viridiplantae; Streptophyta; Magnoliopsida; Zingiberales; Musaceae.
GUGCAGAAUCACAAUUAUCAUUUCAAUCAUACAUAUUUGGUUCAUAACAGAUGGGGCAUAGAGUAAUUGGAGCAUAUCAAUAGCGUACGAGAUGAUCCGGAGCAUAUUAAUGGCAAAUAGGACAUUUCAGAAUAUAUCAGUUCAUAGCAAAUGGAGCACAGAGUAAUUGGAGCAUAUCAAUAGCGUAUGAAAUGUUUCGGAGCAUAUCAAUGACAAAUGGAACAUUUUGAAGUGUAACAAUAACAAAUGAAACAUUUCGGAGCAUAUCAAAGGCGUAUGAAAUGUUUCGGAGCAUAUCAACGGCAUAUGGAACAUUUCGAAGCAUAUCAACAAUGAAUGAAACAUUUCGGAGCAUAUAAAUAACAAAUGAAAUGUUUCGGAGCUUAUCAGUGGUGUAUGAAAUGUUCCGGAGCAUAUCAACGGCGUA